RNAcentral lists this ribosomal RNA (253 nucleotides) under uncultured bacterium. RNAcentral describes it as "partial 16S ribosomal RNA". It matches the Rfam family "Bacterial small subunit ribosomal RNA", at positions 524 to 776 of the family's 1533-position model. The record is from RNAcentral.
UACAGAGGGGGCAAGCGUUAUUCGGAAUUAUUGGGCGUAAAGGGCGCGUAGGCGGCUUGGCAAGUGGAAGGUGAAAUCCCUCGGCUUAACCGAGGAACUGCCCUCCAAACUGCUUUGCUUGAGGCCGGGAGAGGUGAGUGGAAUUCCCAGUGUAGCGGUGAAAUGCGUAGAUAUUGGGAGGAACACCAGUGGCGAAGGCGGCUACCUGGCCUGUUCUUGACGCUGAGGCGCGAAAGCUAGGGGAGCAAACGGG